RNAcentral lists this ribosomal RNA (253 nucleotides) under uncultured bacterium. RNAcentral describes it as "partial 16S ribosomal RNA". It matches the Rfam family "Bacterial small subunit ribosomal RNA", at positions 524 to 776 of the family's 1533-position model. The record is from RNAcentral.
UACGUAGGUGGCAAGCGUUAUCCGGAUUUACUGGGUGUAAAGGGCGUGUAGGCGGGAGAGCAAGUCAGAUGUGAAAUUCCAGGGCUCAACCCUGGAACUGCGUUUGAAACUGUUUUUCUUGAGUACCGGAGAGGUCAUCGGAAUUCCUUGUGUAGCGGUGAAAUGCGUAGAUAUAAGGAAGAACACCAGUGGCGAAGGCGGAUGACUGGACGGCAACUGACGGUGAGGCGCGAAAGCGUGGGGAGCAAACAGG